RNAcentral lists this unclassified non-coding RNA (334 nucleotides) under soil metagenome. Its description in RNAcentral is "partial contains 5.8S ribosomal RNA, internal transcribed spacer 2, and large subunit ribosomal RNA". The stretch from base 1 to 120 matches the Rfam family "5.8S ribosomal RNA", at positions 35 to 154 of the family's 154-position model. The record is from RNAcentral.
GAUGAAGAACGUAGCGAAAUGCGAUAAGUAAUGUGAAUUGCAGAAUUCAGUGAAUCAUCGAAUCUUUGAACGCACAUUGCGCCCCCCAGUAUUCUGGCGGGCAUGCCUGUUCGAGCGUCAUUUCAACCAUCAAGCCCUGCUUGUGUUGGGGUCCUGCGGCUGCCCGCAGGCCCUGAAAACCAGUGGCGGGCUCGCUAGUCACACCGAGCGCAGUAGCACAUCUCGCUCAGGGCGUGCGGCGGGCUCCAGCCGUUAAAGCACCCACCUUUCGCAAGGUUGACCUCGGAUCAGGUAGGAAUACCCGCUGAACUUAAGCAUAUCAGUAAGCGGAGGA